AUACGGAGGGUGCGAGCGUUGUUCGGAAUUAUUGGGCGUAAAGAGCAUGUAGGCGGUCUGUUAAGUCUGGUGUGAAAGCCCGGGGCUCAACCCCGGAAGUGCAUUGGAUACUGGCAGACUUGAGUAUGGGAGAGGAAAGCGGAAUUCCGAGUGUAGGAGUGAAAUCCGUAGAUAUUCGGAGGAACACCAGUGGCGAAGGCGGCUUUCUGGACCAAUACUGACGCUGAGAUGCGAAAGCGUGGGGAGCGAACAGGAUUAGAAACCCUUGUAGUCC
This 274-nucleotide ribosomal RNA is filed under the name uncultured bacterium. RNAcentral describes it as "partial 16S ribosomal RNA". It matches the Rfam family "Bacterial small subunit ribosomal RNA", at positions 523 to 796 of the family's 1533-position model. The record is from RNAcentral.